This 496-nucleotide long non-coding RNA is filed under the name Numida meleagris (helmeted guineafowl). Its description in RNAcentral is "lncRNA (ENSNMEG00000008776.1)". Lineage: Eukaryota; Metazoa; Chordata; Aves; Galliformes; Numididae. The record is from RNAcentral.
UAGCUUGAAGAAAUAGAUUAACUUUCUAUUUGUUCAUUUCUUUAAAUAUUUUUCCAGUUUUCAGAAAUCUUCAGCAUAAAGAAAUGAAAUAUGAGGAUGGAGAAGACUGAGAUCCUGUUUCGGGACUAAUAUGAGCGUUAUACUAAAUGCAUGGGCAUAAUUGCAGUUCUAACAAUAGCAUAGAGACAAGAGGAUACACAAUAAACAUCAAAACUGAACUGAUGAAUGACUGAAAUUCCUACUUUUUGUAUAUACCUAUGACUGCAGCUUCUAAAUCGGAGAUUCUCUCCACAGUUAUUGUUGGGGUUGCUGGUGACUGUGACAUGCCCUUCAAUGCCCUAAAAAUGCGAAGAGAUCCUGUACCUGGAGAGGAAUAACCUUGAAUGUUUCCAGUAAGUGGAAUUUUGACCAGUGAAAUUCAAGGAAAACUUAUUCAGAAAGUGAACUCACUUUGUCCACUUAAGUAAUAAAGAAAAUAUAAUCUCUCUCGGAGCCA